Molecule: long non-coding RNA, 2592 nt
Filed under: Lathyrus oleraceus (garden pea)
Lineage: Eukaryota; Viridiplantae; Streptophyta; Magnoliopsida; Fabales; Fabaceae
Description: Pisum sativum (pea) long non-coding RNA (PSAT_LNC031878)
Source: RNAcentral
GAUUUAAAAGAAUUUAAAAGAUAAUGUAAAUUGUUAAAGCUAGAACCCACGUGUGAUUUUGUUUUUAUAAUUUCUAACAGAAAAAACACAAAAUAGUUUGAUGACUAUUUCUCAUAACAUAAAAUAGCUAUUAAUGGAUGAAAUUAUUGAGCUUGGUGAGAUGCGAUUAGAACCGUUUCGUCUCAUCAACAACACUCAAGAAGCCAUGGAUGCUGAAAGAAAGAGGAAAAUCGCAAAGUGUGGAGUCAUGCCUCAACCCUAGUGAUUCGGUUGAUCGAAGAUGACGCAAACAAUGGAAAUUGUGAGUUAUUCUUCAUCUAUUUUAAUGCUGAUUAAGAAAUAAAAGAUAGAGUUCUUAGAUGAUGAGAUUCCUCACAUCCUCACAUGCCUCAACCCUAGUUUUUUAUUUGAACAUUUCUUCACUCGUCUUAAUGACUUUUUGUUGGCUUUCUUGUAGUAAGCUUAUUUACUUUUCAAUGCUUACAUUGAUAAUACAGUAUAUCAAUGAAUGCCAUAUGGAGUACUAAUUAAGAAGAAAAUAUUUGGGAAUAUUACAUCCUUAUUCUUUACGUUACAUUCAAUGAAACCGUUUCGUUUAGGACUAUCUUUUAUCUUUUCUUCUAUGUUUUUCAGUGAAUGUAUUUUUUUUGUUCUAUUGUUGACUUGUUAAUUAAAAUGACUAAAGUACAUAUCUUUAUUUAAAAAUGGAAGAUUCCAUUAUUUUUGAUAGCAUCAUGGCCGGCUAAAUACAAGUUGAUGUUGUUGUAAAACAAUUUUUUUCUUCUGUAUUUUUCUAUUCGAGUCUUAUUUAAGUGUGUAUAAUGUUGAUUGGGUAAUAGUUCGAUUCCAAAAUAUUCAUUGUUUUACUUUGUAUUUAGUUUUGUAUUUUGUUUCCUAAAUAAGUAAAUAUUUUCCCGAUUCCGUUUUGCUAUUGUAUUAUGCGAUGAUAAUUGUUUUGAAUUCGUUUUGGUUACAAUUAUGCAUCUAUUGACUUGUAAAUUUGGAUUGCGUAUUCGUUUGCGUGACUGUUUCAAUUACAGCUUUGUAGACUUGUAAAUUAAUGUUGGUGUUUACCACUGUUGUACGUUCGUUCUUGAACGAUAUUUAUCCUAGCUUAAGUUUGGUAAACAAAUGGUUUUGUUUUUUUUCAUGGCAUAAUAUAUGUAUCAGUAUAAUAUGUAUGUUGCUGUUCUGGUUUAAUAAGGCACAAUAUAUGUUGCUGUUCUGGUAAUACAUUGUAUAUAUGGUAUAGUAUAUAUGCUGUUGUUCCUGCAUCAGAAUGGACUCGUAAAAUCUUGUAAAUAAUACCCCUGUUGCUGUUCUGGUUUAAUUUCUGUUUGCAUUGCUAAAUCAUAUUCAAUCUGUGAUUUCGACAUUGAUAAUGUGCCGAUAUACUGCUGAUUAUGUGUGUGUCUUUUACGAUGUUUCACUUCCGAUUUAAUCAUGUAGUUGCUGCGAUUAUGCAUCUAUUGACUUGUAAAUUUGGAUUGCGUAUUCGUUUGCGUGACUGUUUCAAUUACAGCUUUGUAGACUUGUAAAUUAAUGUUGGUGUUUACCACUGUUGUACGUCCAAAAACCACAGUAAAUGUCCAUAUGUCCUGAAGAUAUUGGAGUUCCAUGCUAGACCCGGGUCUAUCCUACUUGCCAACCAGCACGAACUGCCUUCUCUGAUAUCUUCUCUUUUUACAUCUGUUGUCUUACUAUAUUUAUUACAAGGUGAAGAUGUAAUACUGUACAUUUGCUCGAGAAGCACUUCGAAUAUAGUUAGGUUUAUCAGUUUCAUAUCAUUUUUUGGAAUUACCAUACUGUACAAUUUCUAUAAAAAUGUGAAGCCUUUUUUGAUGUUUGAACAUUUCUCACUCGUCUUAAUGACUUUUUGUUGGCUUUCUUGUAGUGAGCCUUAUUUACUUUCAAUGCUUACAUUGAUAAUGUUUUGUGGAUUUUGUAGGAGGAAAACUGGAAGAGGUCAUUGCACUUACUGUGAUAUAACUGUUAAAUUGUUUGUCUCACACAUAUCUUUCAGAUGACAAGGAUAAUACGACAUUAUGAAUUGUUACAGGCCCCGCCCAGGAGCAAGCGUAUGUGACAUUUUCAUUGUAUUAGAUUGUGUUGAUUCCUACUAUUGCUAGCAAUUUAAGACAUCCCCAUGAUGUACANNNNNNNNNNNNNNNNNNNNNNNNNUCAGUUCGUUGAACGUUAUUUAUCCUAGCUUAAGUUUGGUAAACAAAUGGUUUGUUUUUUUUCAUGCAUAAUAUAUGUAUCAGUAUAAUAUGUAUGUUGCUGUUCUGGUUUAAUAAGGCACAAUAUAUGUUGCUGUUCUGGUAUCAUUGUAAAUAUGGUAUAGUAUAUAUGCUGGUUGUUCCUGCAUCAGAAUGGACUCGUAAAAUCUUGUAAAUAAAUACCCUGUUGCUGUUCUGGUUUAAUUCUGUUUUGCAUUGCUAAAUCAUUUCAAUUCGUGAUUUCGACAUUGAUAAUGUGCCGAUAUACUGCUGAUUAUGUGGUGUCUUAUACGAUGUUUUCACUUCCGAUUUAAUCAUGUAGUUGCUGCGAUUAUUUUCAUUAAGUUUGGCAAUCAUGUCAGAGUCUUUGCAG